GAUGAACGCUGGCGGCGUGCCUAAUACAUGCAAGUCGAGCGAACGGACGAGAAGCUUGCUUCUCUGAUGUUAGCGGCGGACGGGUGAGUAACACGUGGAUAACCUACCUAUAAGACUGGGAUAACUUCGGGAAACCGUAGCUAAUACCGGAUAAUAUUUUGAACCGCAUGGUUCAAAAGUGAAAGACGGUCUUGCUGUCACUUAUAGAUGGAUCCGCGCUGCAUUAGCUAGUUGGUAAGGUAACGGCUUAUCAAGGCAACGAUGCAUAGCCGACCUGAGAGGGUGAUCGGCCACACUGGAACUGAGACACGGUCCAGACUCCUACGGGAGGCAGCAGUAGGGAAACUUCCGCAAUGGGCGAAAGCCUGACGGAGCAACGCCGCGUGAGUGAUGAAGGUCUUCGGAUCGUAAAACUCUGUUAUUAGGGAAGAACAUAUGUGUAAGUAACUGUGCACAUCUUGAUGGUACCUAAUCAGAAAGCCACGGCUAACUACGUG
Molecule: ribosomal RNA, 497 nt
Filed under: uncultured bacterium
Lineage: Bacteria
Description: partial 16S ribosomal RNA
Rfam family: Bacterial small subunit ribosomal RNA
Source: RNAcentral